RNAcentral lists this long non-coding RNA (282 nucleotides) under Elaeis guineensis (African oil palm). RNAcentral's name for it is "long non-coding RNA (EGUI_LNC059014)". Lineage: Eukaryota; Viridiplantae; Streptophyta; Magnoliopsida; Arecales; Arecaceae. The record is from RNAcentral.
CUAGAAGAAGAGGAUGUUAGAUUUAUGCCCUAGAAGUCAAUUAUUGGCUAACACAUUUUGUAAUUUCAGGACUUAAUCUUGUACUUGUAAUAUUUUUACUAUCAAUAAAAGGCUUUUUCAUUCUAACCAUGUUUAUGUGUCCAUGAUUUAUCCUAAAAAUUAACAAAAAUAAUUUUUAUAUAUUCUCAAUGUGUUGAAAAUUUGAGACAUAUAUUAAUUAGUAGUUAAUUUCUAAAUACUCUCGAUCAAAGGAUCAUCACAGGGGACAGUGAUCUAUCCAUU